AUUGAACGCUGGCGGCAUGCCUUACACAUGCAAGUCGAACGGCAGCACGGGGGCAACCCUGGUGGCGAGUGGCGAACGGGUGAGUAAUACAUCGGAAUGUACCCAGUAGUGGGGGAUAACUAGUCGAAAGAUUAGCUAAUACCGCAUACGCACUAUGGUGGAAAGCGGGGGGAUCGCAAGACCUCGCGCUAUUGGAGCAGCCGAUGUCCGAUUAGGUAGUUGGUGGGGUAAAAGCCUACCAAGCCUGCGAUCGGUAACUGGUCUGAGAGGACGACCAGUCACACUGGGACUGAGACACGGCCCAGACUCCUACGGGAGGCAGCAGUGGGGAAUUUUGGACAAUGGGGGAAACCCUGAUCCAGCAAUGCCGCGUGUGUGACGAAGGCCUUGGUGUAAGCACUUCGGUCGGACGAACGGGACGCGUUCUAUACAGAGU
RNAcentral lists this ribosomal RNA (436 nucleotides) under uncultured bacterium. RNAcentral's name for it is "bacterial SSU rRNA". It matches the Rfam family "Bacterial small subunit ribosomal RNA", at positions 30 to 466 of the family's 1533-position model. The record is from RNAcentral.